UACAGAGGGGGCAAGCGUUGUUCGGAAUUAUUGGGCGUAAAGGGCGCGUAGGCGGUGCGGUAAGUCACCUGUGAAAUCUCUGGGCUCAACUCAGAGUCUGCAGGCGAAACUGCCGUGCUUGAGUGUGGGAGAGGUGAGUGGAAUUCCCGGUGUAGCGGUGAAAUGCGUAGAUAUCAGGAGGAACACCUGUGGUGUAGACAGCUUACUGGACCACUUCUGACGCUGAGACACGAAAGCGUGGGUAGCAAACAGG
RNAcentral lists this ribosomal RNA (253 nucleotides) under uncultured prokaryote. Its description in RNAcentral is "partial 16S ribosomal RNA". It matches the Rfam family "Bacterial small subunit ribosomal RNA", at positions 524 to 776 of the family's 1533-position model. The record is from RNAcentral.